Pogoniulus pusillus (Red-fronted tinkerbird) is the source of this 1322-nucleotide long non-coding RNA. RefSeq lists it as uncharacterized. The transcript is spliced from 4 exons. The record is from RefSeq and is a predicted model, not a curated record. NCBI's taxonomy places the organism in Eukaryota, Metazoa, Chordata, Aves, Piciformes, Lybiidae.
GUUUGCUUGGCAGGAGCACUCGAGGCAAUGAAUCUGGGGAUCUGCUGUGUGUAUGUCUUCAGGUGACUCCUACCCUGCUCUGCUCAGAACACACAGGACAAAAGAUACUCCUGUAGUCAUCCAUGUCUUUAAAGGCUUCUAAGGACAUCAACGUGUUAAAAAAUUGCAUCCCUACCCAUAAAAUAAAAUAGCCACUCUUCAGAGCCAGUAUCACCAGACAAUCUGGAUGCCCUGAAGUCCCUGGCUCUGUGGAACGUGCACCACUUAGGACUCCUGCUGGCAAGAGCAAGACAGAGUGCUCUACCUUGGCAUGGAAUAAACAUGUUAGAGAGAGUAAAGCUGCAUAAAGAAGGCUGGAAAUGUACAGUGCUAAUCCUGCUUCAAAGCAUCUCCAAGUUCAGAGCACUCAAUGGGGAAAGAGGACCACGGAUUUGAUCCGGUUCAGAGGGCUGCCAGAGCAGCUGUGGAGAAACAUGUUCAGCUCACGAUGCUUCCAGAUGCAGCCACGCCUCCUCACCUGCAACAAGGACCCUGUCCCACUGCUCCUGGGUUCAUGACUUUGCCCCCAGCCUCUCUGCAUCCUCAUUUCUCUGUACAGGAAACUCCCACUUUGAGCUGCUUCUGCCAGUUUAAAGGCCACAUUUCCCAGUGGCAAUUUUUAGAAGAGCCCAAGGAAGCUCAGAGGAGAUGAAGCCAUGCAAGGCCCACCUCUGGCUGCGCAGGAUCAGCAUAUGUCCUGGAGCCAGCUGCCUGACCUGCCUGCAUUGAGAAGAAAGGAUGGGGGUGGAAGAGGAAAGCAGUCAGCCAACCUGUUAUGUAAUCCAAAGGCAUUAUUUUGUGACCUUUAUUUCUUCCUAAAGAACAAAAGAAAAGCAGAAGCAGACUGCCUAGAGAGCUGCUGCUCCUUGAACCUGGACAGUGUGCACUCAGCACUGCAAGGAGACGUCCAGCAGACAGCAUUCAGUGUGCACCGUAGCUGCCCUAACUAUCAAGCUCUGAUACAGAUGUUCAUUGAACUGCCAGGGCAUUGGGAGGAAAAUAAAUUACUUGUGAGUGGAAGAAAGUUAGUUAAAUCUUUUCUGGAAGUAUUAUAUAGCCAUUAAAUUGUAUGGGAAACUCAAUAGUAAUGGGUAAUGAUGUCUUUCCAGGGAAUUAAAUAGAAGCUGGAUUCACCAUGCUGCUUGGUAUUCAGGGUAGAGUGUUCCACCUUCCUGGUAGAGGAUAAGCAUUUACUAAUCAGUCCUCACAAAGCCUCAGUGAGGCAGAUCUCUUCACACCACUGGUUCUGUUUAAUAAAUGGAAACAAGGAGAUACAACACACA